GAUGAACGCUAGCGGCAGGCUUAACACAUGCAAGUCGAGGGGCAUCGGGAGGGAAGCUUGCUUUCCUUGCCGGCGACCGGCGCACGGGUGAGUAACACGUAUCCAACCUGCCGAUGACUCGGGGAUAGCCUUUCGAAAGAAAGAUUAAUACCCGAUGGCAUAGUUCUUCCGCAUGGUAGGACUAUUAAAGAAUUUCGGUCAUCGAUGGGGAUGCGUUCCAUUAGCUUGUUGGCGGGGUAACGGCCCACCAAGGCAUCGAUGGAUAGGGGUUCUGAGAGGAAGGUCCCCCACAUUGGAACUGAGACACGGUCCAA
This 314-nucleotide ribosomal RNA is filed under the name uncultured bacterium. RNAcentral describes it as "bacterial SSU rRNA". It matches the Rfam family "Bacterial small subunit ribosomal RNA", at positions 28 to 334 of the family's 1533-position model. The record is from RNAcentral.